Molecule: ribosomal RNA, 1005 nt
Filed under: Tachinus sp. 2 XZ-2013
Lineage: Eukaryota; Metazoa; Arthropoda; Insecta; Coleoptera; Staphylinidae
Description: eukaryotic LSU rRNA
Rfam family: Eukaryotic large subunit ribosomal RNA
Source: RNAcentral
GGGAUUUGCCCAGCACUGAAUCGACCGUCCGAUCAACGGCGCGAGGAAGUGUAGUGUUCGGGAGGGCCUAUUAACCCGGCGUCGCGGGGCGAGUCCAAGUCCUUCUUGAACGGGGCCACUUACCCACAGAGGGUGCCAGGCCCGUAGGACUGCCGCCGACGUCGGAGAGGUCUCUCCCCAGAGUCAGGUUGCUUGAGAGUGCAGCCCUAAGCAGGUGGUAAACUCCAUCUAAGGCAAAAUAACACCACGAGACCGAUAGCAAACAAGUACCGUGAGGGAAAGUUGAAAAGAACUUUGAAGAGAGAGUUCAAAAGUACGUGAAACCGUUCAGGGGUAAACCUGAGAAACCCGAGAGUCUGAAACGGGAGAUUCAACGCGUCUCGUGCCGUCGACGCACACCUGUCCGCUUGACGAGCAAGCCGCGGCGCGUGUGGUAACACACGCGUCCGGCCGAUCGCAUCGGCUGAACGUCGCGCGGCCCGGAAUGCGUGCACUUCUCCCAAAGUAGAACGUCGUGAGCCGUUGAGCGCCGGUCUAAGGCCCGCUGGGUAGCCCGCGCGGUGCGUUCGCGCGCAUCGCUCGGACCCGCGGCGCCCGGCCUGCGCCCGACGGCACAACACAAGAGGCACGGAGUCGCGAACGCUCGCGUCCGGCCCGUCACAAGCGCGCCCGGUCAGCCCGGAACCUCGGACCCAGUGCCGAUUCUGGACCCGCGGCGGCUGCUGGUGGCGGCGCUCUCGGACAGUCUCCGCACAUGCCGCUCUACGACGCUUUAGCUAAGGUUACUUUCACGACCCGUCUUGAAACACGGACCAAGGAGUCUAGCAUGUACGCGAGUCAUUGGGAACGAGUUAAACCCAUUGGCGGAAUGAAUGUGAAGAGCCGCUUCGCGCGGCUUCAGGGAGGAUGGGAAUCCGUUUCUAAGGAGACCCCGCACUCCCGGGGCGUCUCGCACUCAUCGCGAGUUGAGGCGCACCCAGAGCGCACACGCUGGUACCCGAAAGA